UGUCACUACAUCAGGAUGUAGUGAAGAAAUGUGCAUUUCUUAUAUAGUUUGAAGAGUCUUAUUAUGAGACUACCAGCGUCUUAAUAUGCCUACCAGCAUAUCUUGGGGGCUAUUGUUUACUUUAAGAUUAUACUACUAGUCACAGAGACAGGAAGUUCUUUGUUCUUCUCCACCUAUGUUCUGGGAGAAGCAAACCCCAGUCAUUCUGAAUGUCGAAGUGAUGCAGUAAGGUCCGAGUUACAUAACAUUGCAGCAGAAAGUUUUAGUUAUUUUGUGGAACAAACUACAGGCCCAAUUCGGUAAGAAUACGAUAUCUAUUUCUAUAUAUGUUAUUUGAUAUACUAGAAGGCUAGGAUGUAUCUUGAUAUAAUCUCAGUUGAGUUUGGUAGAAUUUUAUAGGAGUUUUGUAAAGAUGAUGUUAGAUGUUGUACCUAGCUUUUAGGAGUAGACAAAGAGAUGAGUGUGUAUAAUGUAUAGUGUAGAAAGCCGAGUUCUUUGUCUUUGUCAGCAGAAGUUACAGUACAUUUAAGUGUUUCAAAGUAGCAAAGAUUCUGCUACUAUGUAGAUGAUAACUUGUUUAUUAUAUAUAUAGUUCAUGUCAAAUUUAGAGCAAAACUAAGUGUUUAGGAAAGAAACAAUUUUCUUUGUUAGUUAUUUAACAUAGGAACUUAAGUGACGAACCGCGUCUGAAUGCGGCCCUGUUCACACUCAUGUAUGUUUGCUUGUGUGUACUGUUUAAUAGUUUACUGCAUAGUUUCAAUGCAGGGUGUGUUCACAUAGAUAUUUAAUCCAGUUUAACUUUAAUCUUGUGUCAUAUAUUAAUGUGUUGUAAUCAGUAUCUUUAAUUUAGCUAUAGGGUUUUUAUAUGCUUACAUGCUGAAACAUUUAUUCAUUAUUUGUUUGUUUGUUUAUUAUCAUUACAGAUUGUUAUCUGAAGGUUUACCGGAGAUAGUAAUUAACCUGAAGGUUUACCGGAGAUAUGAAAGUGAAGUUACGAGUUGCUGAAUAAAACAGAAGUUGGUUGGACUUUAGCAAAUUGUUUCCAGUGUUAAUUUUCAUCGGUGUGCCUUGUGAAUAACAACAGUUGGAUUUAUUGUUAGACGAAACUCCUUCAUAUAAAGAUUUAUGAAGGCAGCCACAAUAACAAUCGAAGCCUGUUAUUCGAAGUCGAAUAACAAGCGAAGUUCCACAAUAACGAAUGAAGUUCGAAUGACAAACGAACAUCAAUUAUAAGACUUUUUGCAGCCGUUUAAUGAACUUGUAAGCAGACCUAGGUUUAUAAAGGCCUGAAGUCAUGCCUUUAUCAGAGCCUGUAUUGCGACGUGAAACGACGACAGAGAGGAAUCCCACAUCGAAGGCUAGAAGUCUGGCUGGUGUUAAGUUCACCAAGAGCGAUGUGGAAGCAGGACAAUAUGAUGCAGUCAUCAUGAAGGCUACACGUGUAGCGAGCUCACGGAUGUAUCGUGAGAGUGUGAGGUUAGAACUAGCUGUCAUGGAACAGCAGGACAGGCUAGAUGCUGUAAAAGUUCAGAUGGAGGAACGAAAGAUACAACAGCACGACAGGCUUGAUGCUCUAAAGGCUGAGCAAGAGCAUGCUAGGAGAGUCCGGAAUGAGAAACGAAAGCUAAUACAGCUGAAGCUGAGUCUGCUGAGAAAGAAGUCGGCUGACAAAAGAAAUAGAUUAGAAAGAGAGGAAGAGAGUGACAGCUCUGAAGCUGUCAUCAAAGAUGUCAAAUUGCCAAAGGAACAGCCAGGGGAUUCCGUCCAUGGAUUGGCAGUUGGCACAACAACACCUAUUCUUGAUAGAACUUCUAACCAGACAGGUUUUGAAACGAUGGCAGAGUCCAUGGCCCAUGUGCAACAAAACGUGCUAACGCAGAGACUUGCUGUUGCGAGUCAAGUUCCAAAGUUGGAGAUACCGGUAUUUAGCGGCGUUGCUGACGGUCAUCGAGCCAAGGACUGCACUGAGAGGAAGGUUUGCAAGAUUUGUGAAGGGUGUCCCCUUGCCUGCCUGCAUACAUGUAAGCCAACCGAGAACCAGAUAAAUCCACCCGAGGAAGCCGCAUCCAAGUACACCAAUGUCUGCGCUCCUCAAGACAAAGAUGAACAGGAGCACUGUAUGAUUGUGCCAGACUGGGUGAGGUGCAAGGAUGAUCAGCGUAAUGUAGGCUUCGUUUCGGACGAACUGUGUGAGCAGUUAGGAGUACAGGGAACUGAUACUACCCUGAGGCUCACCACCAUGCACGCAACGGCCAAUGUCAGGAGCAUGAAGGUGAGCGGUUUACAGGUGUUGGACUUCAAUAGGGAGAACAAGAUUGACCUACCCCCGUGCUUCUCUAGAGAGUCUAUUCCAGGUAUCAGAACCCAGAUCCCAAGGAGUGAAGGCUUGAAGGAGUGGCCUCAUCUUGAGCCAGUUGCUCAUGAGUUGAUGCCAUACAACAGGAGCGUCAAGGUAUCGCUCUUAAUUGGAAAUAACUGUCCCCGAGCCAUCCGCCCUCGAGAGGUGAUAGCAGGAGGAGAAGAUGACCCGUAUGCCAUUAAGACAGCACUUGGAUGGGGAGUAGUUGGCAAUGUCUGCCAGACGUCGGUGCAGGAGGAUGGUGUUCAGAUCUGCAAUAGGAUAUCUGCAAUUGAGAUGCAGCCAGAGUUUGCCUAUGAGAGUAAGGCCAAGGAGAUCAUGGACACUGAGAAAGGCAUCCAGUUUCCGAAAGAUAGCUACAAGGACUCAAGUGCAGAUGGUGAGCUGUACUCCGUGGAGGAGAUGGAAUUCAAGGAGAUCUUGGAGAGUGGUGCCCGCAGAUGUGACAACGGCCACUAUGAGAUGCCAUUACCUCCGAAGUCUGCAAAGCCAAACCUUUCCUUCAACGAGCCACUUCCCUUGAAGAGAUGGAAGCAGCUGCCUGGGAGGUUGCGGAAGAACCCAAAAUUUGGUGGAGACUACAGAGCAUUCAUGGAUGACGUCAUCCAGAAUUAUGCACCGAGAGUACCUCCAGCAGUUACAGCCCUGUCAGAAGUGGACGCGAGUGCAGCGAGACAUGGCCAUCAGCGAUGUAGUCAUCGUGAAGGAGACUGCGGACGUCCAGUGGCCUCUAGCAAGAGUAGCAGAAGUUUUCCUAGUCAAGACGGACGCGUUAGAAAAGGUAAAGCUCCUCAUGGUUGAUGGAACGCUGAACAGUAAUGGUAAACGUCUGAAGAAACCUUGUUACCUUGAUAGACCCGUCCACAAACUCGUGUUACUACUGCCGGUAGAGUCUUAGGAAUAAUUAGUUCUGUUGUUAAUAACAGAGAUGUAAAACUAAUCGUGACCUGUCUUUUUCUUUCCAUUUCUCUUUCUUUCUCAAUCACUUUCUCACUUUCUCAUUCAUUCCCUCUUUCUAGAUUUCUACCUUUAUCUUAGUUUCAUGACCUUUACGUUUCUUGUUGUUUUAUCCUAUAUUUGCAAACAAGUUUGUCAUUAUCACGCAGAAGACAGUAGGGAUUCCCCCUCAAGGAGCCUUUAUCUCAUUGUUGUAUAUUUUUCUGAUGUCAGAAGUGUCCUCAUUCGCACAUAUGUAGCCAUGCGGUUAUUAACGAAAGGUGUUGAUUAAGUUUACUUCGUAUACAUGUUAGUUACAUGUCAGGUGUAUUACACUUAUUUUGAUUGAUUACCAAUCAAGCAGUAGUUAGAGCAUUAAUGGGUUAAGUUGAUAUAUCUUAUGCAUUGUAGAUAAUGUUCAUGAAAGUUACAUGAAUGAUGAAUGAUCGUUAGAGGUUAAUGUUGUUCCUUGGUAGUAAUAGUAGUGCAGUAUGUCUAUCUAUGUUGUAGCGUAGUCUUAAAUUUGGAUAUUAACAGUUAUUUUAGUAAAUGUUACUAACAUUUAAAGGAGCCAUGUCACUACAUCAGGAUGUAGUGAAGAAAUGUGCAUUUCUUAUAUAGUUUGAAGAGUCUUAUUAUGAGACUACCAGCGUCUUAAUAUGCCUACCAGCAUAUCUUGGGGGCUAUUGUUUACUUUAAGAUUAUACUACUAGUCACAGAGACAGGAAGUUCUUUGUUCUUCUCCACCUAUGUUCUGGGAGAAGCAAACCCCAGUCAUUCUGAAUGUCGAAGUGAUGCAGUAAGGUCCGAGUUACAUAACAUUGCAGCAGAAAGUUUUAGUUAUUUUGUGGAACAAACUACAGGCCCAAUUCGAUUGUUAUCUGAAGGUUUACCGGAGAUAGUAAUUAACCUGAAGGUUUACCGGAGAUAUGAAAGUGAAGUUACGAGUUGCUGAAUAAAACAGAAGUUGGUUGGACUUUA
Strongylocentrotus purpuratus (purple sea urchin) is the source of this 4276-nucleotide RNA transcript. RefSeq lists it as uncharacterized. The record is from RefSeq and is a predicted model, not a curated record. NCBI's taxonomy places the organism in Eukaryota, Metazoa, Echinodermata, Echinoidea, Camarodonta, Strongylocentrotidae. The transcript has 2 exons.